UGGCUUUUGGGCUGUCGCAGAUGGAUGAGCCUGCGUUGGAUUAGCUAGUUGGUGAGGUAAGGGCCUACCAAGGCUACGAUCCAUAGCUGAUUUGAGAGGAUGAUCAGCCACAUUGGGACUGAGACACGGCCCAAACUCCUACGGGAGGCAGCAGUGAGGAAUAUUGGACAAUGGGGGCAACCCUGAUCCAGCAAUGCCAUGUGUGUGAAGAAGGCCUUAGGGUUGUAAAGCACUUUAGUUGGGGAAGAAAGCUUUGAGGUUAAUAGCCUUGAGGAAAAGGACGUUACCCAAAGAAUAAGCACCGGCUAACUCCGUGCCAGCAGCCGCGGUAAUACGGGGGGUGCAAGCGUUAAUCGGAAUUACUGGGCGUAAAGGGUCUGUAGGUGGUUUGUUAAGUCAGAUGUGAAAGCCUAGGGCUCAACCUUGGAACUGCAUUUGAUACUGGUAAACUAGAGUACGGUAGAGGAAUGGGGAAUUUCUGGUGUAGCGGUGAAAUGCGUAGAGAUCAGAAGGAACACCAAUGGCGAAGGCAACAUUCUGGACCGAUACUGACACUGAGGGACGAAAGCGUGGGGAUCAAACAGGAUUAGAUACCCUGGUAGUCCACGCUGUAAACGAUGAGUACUAGCUGUUGGAGUCGGUGUAAAGGCUCUAGUGGCGCAGCUAACGCGAUAAGUACUCCGCCUGGGGACUACGGCCGCAAGGCUAAAACUCAAAGGAAUUGACGGGGACCCGCACAAGCGGUGGAGCAUGUGGUUUAAUUCGAUGCAACGCGAAGAACCUUACCUGGUCUUGACAUCCUGCGAUCUUUCUAGAGAUAGAUUGGUGCCUUCGGGAACGCAGUGACAGGUGCUGCACGGCUGUCGUCAGCUCGUGUUGUGAAAUGUUGGGUUAAGUCCCGCAACGAGCGCAACCCCUA
This 919-nucleotide ribosomal RNA is filed under the name Francisella endosymbiont of Dermacentor variabilis. Its description in RNAcentral is "bacterial SSU rRNA". It matches the Rfam family "Bacterial small subunit ribosomal RNA", at positions 202 to 1107 of the family's 1533-position model. Lineage: Bacteria; Pseudomonadati; Pseudomonadota; Gammaproteobacteria; Thiotrichales; Francisellaceae. The record is from RNAcentral.